UGUAUGAAAUAGAUGCCAAUAGGUUUUAUAGGUAGGAAAUUUCAAAUAUAAGAUAAGAAAUUUGUGGUGCACACCACAGCCGGACUUGGCCCUGAGGCCAUCACGUAGAGAAGCGCAUCCACCGAAAAUACCCACCGACCUUGACUUGGGGCGCAAGCACGCUAAGGAGGCUCAUUAGGCCAAAGCGCCCCAAGCUCGGUCGAUGGAUAUUUAAGGUAGGAGUGGAGGCUCAGGGGACAAGUUCAGCAUAGCCCGAGCUCGACACCCUAGUCGUUGGUGCCCAAGUGGAGUGUACACUAAAACUCGGAGUUGACUUCAUUUUAUCGAGGUGCCGGACCUUCCAGUGUGCCACAUUGGACCCCGCACCACAUUGGUGGCAGCGCAAUUUUCGACCCACGCUACCGAAGGAAGACCAGCUCAGAAUGACCAUCCUGACACUCAACAUCACCGGAAUUCUCCUCCUGAUAGCAGCAGCUGGAGGGCUGGUAAAUGAUCUUACGUCUGGCAUAGUCUUUCUACGACAAAAAACGUUUUUGCUCAGCAAUGACAUCUGGAAUGUCAUCAUGGAAAUUCCUCUUCAACCAUAUAAGGAUGCGAUUGAAAAGACAUCUCAUAUGAUCAACACUACAAUGCAGGAGUCGUGGGCCACGACAAACCCAGACAAACUAGCGGAACAUGUUCAGCUGGAAAUGGAAAGUUUCAUCCUCCAACUACAGAACCUCAGGGACGAAAUCAAUGAACUAUCAACGGAAUCGCUCAUCAGGGAGAAAAGGAACUUCGCGCCUUUUGGCUUCAUAGGAAGCUCCUUCCACUACUUGUUCGGACUGAGUACGGACGAGGAGACGAGUAAAUUAAAUAAUAAACUAUUAAAUGUAAAAGCACUAACAACAGAAAAUCAUCACGAUUUAGAGCAACAAAUUUCAAUUCUAGGGGACAUACACAAUUUUGAAGAAAAAAGCAAUAAAAUUAUUAAAGAUAUAGCAAAAGCUACAGAGCACAUUGACGAAAAAUUCGAGAAAGUAGCAAACACGUAUAUUAACGAGACAAAUUUUAAGUUCAUAAUGGUGUCAAAAUACUUUGAUGUAUCUUUCUUUUUGAAAGAAAUUCAGUUCAAUAUAUUAGAAAUUAAGGACAACAUUUUUAAAUUAAAGAUCUCAUUGCAAAGUGCCGCACACGGCACAUUAACUGAAUUCCUAAUGCCAAAAAAGAGAUUACUGUCAGUCCUAACGAAAAUCCAAGCCAAUUUACCACCGCAAUAUAGUUUGAUUUUCCCGCUCAGAUCCACUCAGAUCUCAAAAUUUUAUAACAUCAUAUCAUGUCACGCAAUAUAAUAGAUAAUAAGAUCCGUAUUUUCCUUAACAUUCCGUUGAAAGCGGAAAAUAGAAUAUUUGAUUUAUAUAAGUUGGCGCCUUUACCUCACAACGUAAAAAACGUUUCUGUAAGCAUAUACAUUGACCCCCCCCACCAUAUAUUGCAAUAAGCAAGAAUAAAGAAACAUAUCUCCCGUUGGACCAAGAAGAGCUAGAAAAAUGUCACAAUAAGGCCAUAAUGAUAUGUCCUGCGAACAUACCGAUUAGAACCUUUAAGCAAAAAACAUGCAUUUUUGCGCUAAUUAGGAAUAUGUCUAACGACAUCAUAACGUACUGCGAUAGAAUAAUCACAACAAGAAAUAGAGCCCCACUCUUCUAUAAACCGCAGAUAGAUAACAUAUGGAUAUACAGUGUGGCAACUCCCGUAACAGCAAUCUUGCAAUGCCCAGAAGAUGGCGAAAAAGUAGGCAAGCAAGUUGAGUUGGUAGGAAACAACUACACAAACAUUCCACCCAAAUGUUCUCUAUCUGCGGACACGUUUAGGAUAGACGCAUCAGAAUAUUCACCUCAGUAGAAAACCCCGAAAUCGCCUCAUUUUUAUGCCCACAGUAAAAAACUUGCUCUCGCAAAAAGAUAUGUUACUUCUCAGCAACCUCACAAAGGACCCAAGUUUCUCGAAAAAAUUGCAAGACUUGGUUAAGGAUGCAAAUGGUCUAGAAAAAGAGAUCCCAGAUGGAAUAAAAAUACAGGCGCUGAAAUAUAAUAUACAAAACCACUUAGAUAAACCCCACAGUCCAUUCGAAACGUCCAAUCACCAUUACAUAGUGUACAUAACCAUAAUUAUACUCGUUGUAGCAAUACUUGGACUACUAUGCCAGGUUCAUUUAAUCAGAAGAAGUGGCUACGGCGAACAUGUUAGGUACAGAAACAACGAAGUGUAUUUAGACACUUCAGAAGAGGCCUAAAUGAAACUUGUUUUCUCUUGAAUACAAAAAAGGCCAACUUUUACAAAUAAGGGUGAAGGAAAUAGCUAGUACUUAAAACUUAAGACUUCUUAGAAUUAAGUCCACACAUUUAGGAGACAUAGAAAUGACUCCGUUGUAAAAAUUAUAUUCAAUCCGUAAGCGUCGUUUUCAAAAAGUUUCAAAUGUUGUACUUUAUCACCUUUCAUAUUGUUAUUUUUAAUUUUUAAUGUUGCGUUUCAAAUGUUCUUUUCAAUUACUUUUUAAAUGUUUUUAAAUAAACUAACGAAGCAAAGGCAAACUUCGGCGAGGGCGCCGAGCUUCGAAGGGCCCCAGGAUUGUGGUGCACACCACAGCCGGACUUGGCCCCUGAGGCCAUCACGUAGAGAAGCGCAUCCACCGAAAAUACCCACCGACCUUGACUUGGGGCGCAAGCACGCUAAGGAGGCUCAUUAGGCCAAAGCGCCCCAAGCUCGGUCGAUGGAUAUUUAAGGUAGGAGUGGAGGCUCAGGGGACAAGUUCAGCAUAGCCCGAGCUCGACACCCUAGUCGUUGGUGCCCAAGUGGAGUGUACACUAAAACUCGGAGUUGACUUCAUUUUAUCGAGGUGCCGGACCUUCCAGUGUGCCACAUUGGACCCCGCACCACAAAAUUGUUCUUUGCUCAUCGCGGAGAUGCAGGUGGUGAGGAGGGGGCCCAAGGCCUUCUCCUCUCCCCCUCGAAGCUUAAA
Molecule: long non-coding RNA, 3001 nt
Filed under: Bemisia tabaci
Lineage: Eukaryota; Metazoa; Arthropoda; Insecta; Hemiptera; Aleyrodidae
Description: lncRNA ENSSSA3NGG003092
Source: RNAcentral